GGCCCUUUGAGGACCAUGCAUCCCCUUGAUCACGCUCCUUUCCCUGCACGGUUCCACCCUUUCCUUGCCCUUUCCCCUCACGGUUCUGCCCUUUCCUUGCCCCUUUCCUUGCCCCUUUCCCCUCACGGUUCUGCCCUUUCCUUGCCCUUUUCCCCGCACGGUCCCGCCCUUUCCUUGCCCCUUUCCCUGCACGGUUCCGCCCUUUGCUGCGUCUCGCCCCCAAAUCCCCGGCUAGCUGGGCGAGUCAAGCAGAGAGAAGGAAUUUCUCCUUGGAUCCCAGGGGGGCUUUGAGCAGCUCCCUUGAGAUUCCGAAGACAAGCCAGUCCCACAAGCAGAGAAAGAAGGCGCUUUUCAUCUCAGGAAUAAUUCCAAAUUUUAAUGACAGCCUAUAGAGAUUCCAGGUCACAUCUGACAUCGAAGGACAUCCAGAGACAGAGAGAGAUUCUCCUUGCCGGAGCAGCCAGAUACAGGGCGGGGUGGGGAAACCUUUCCUUGCCCUUUCCGCACACGGUUCCGCCCUUUCCUUGCCCUUUCCCCACACGGUUCCGCCCUUUCCUUGCCCUUUCCCCACGUGGUUCUGCCCUUUCCUUGCCCUUUUCCCCGCACGGUUCCGCCCUUUCCUUGCCCUUUCCCCGCACGGUUCCGCCCUUUCCUUGCCCCUUUCCCCGCACGGUUUGGCCUCGGGAGUGGGGCAGGAGGAGGAGGAGGGAGGAGGAGGCGCAGCGGCAGCAGGAGCAGCCGGAGAAGAGCAGAGCAGGAAUCGCGUGGCCCCGGGACCAUCGCCCCCAUCCCGCAGUGCCCGGGCAGGGGGAGCUCGGCCCAAAUAUCCCGGGCGGUGCCGGGGUUUGGGGUUUUUGGGGGAUGUUUGGGGCUGGCAGGGCUCCAACGCCGAGCCACAGAUGGCCCUGGGGGGACAUCGGCGGGGCCCUGGGAGGUGUUUUUGGGAGGUGCCAGGGCAGGGAGUGGCUGCUCCCACUUCGAGCCCUGUUGCUCCCUCCGUGUCCUUCCAGUUUCCUCAGCACUCCCAGUAUGAGCCCAGUUGCUCCCAGUAUGAUCCUGGUCACUUCCCCUCUCUCCCUGCAGGAUCCCUGUUGUUGCCAGUAUGAGCCCAGUCCUGCCCAGUCAUUCCCUAAGAUGAUGCAAUUUAAACCCAGCAAGGUCCUAGUUGCUCCCAGUUCCUUCCACUUUCAUCCACUGUGUUCCCCAUUCUGCCAGUUGCCCCUAGCAUAAUCCUAGUCACUCCCAGUAUGAUCCCAGUCUAGCUCAGCAAGGCCCUAGUCAUUCCCACUUGCCCCCAGCAUGUUCCCAGUUUCCCCAGCACAUUCCCAGUCACUCCCAGUCUGGUCCCAGUCACCACCCAUGUGGUCUGAGACACGCCCAGUAUAUCCCAGCUGCCCUGAACAUUCUCGUAGUCAUUGCAAGGCAGUCCCAGUUACCUCAGCAUGGUUCACUUGCCCCCAGUUUCAUCCCAGCUGAUCUCAGUUCCUUUAAUUAUGUCCCCAGUUGGCUCCCAGCAAGGGCCUGGUAGCUCCCAGUAACCCCCAGUCAGGGUCCAGUGACACUCACUCUAAUCCCAGUGUGAUUGUUGCCACUCCCAGUAUGACCCCAGUCAUUCCCAGUCUGAUGCCAGUGGCCCCCAGUGUGGUCCCAGUUGCUCCUUGUCAAUGCCAGCAUGACCCCAGUAGCCUCCAGUAGGAUCCCACUGUCUCCCUGUCUCUCCCAGUUUAUCCCAGUCACUCCCAUUUUCUCCCUGUUGCUUUCAGCAUAAUUCCAGUUGCUCGCAGCCAGUCCCAGUCAAUCCCAGUAUGAUUCCAGUCCCCCCUCUGUGUGAUCCCAGUCUGACCCAGCAGGAACCCAGCUGCUUCCAGUGUGAUCCCAGUAUGAUCCCAGUUGUCCCCAAACAUAGUUCCAGUUGUUCUCACUUCCUCACAUUAUGAUCCCAGUUGCCCCUUGAAUAGUCCCAGUCCCUCUCAGCAGGGUCCCAGUUGUGCCCAGUUGCCCCCAGCAUAGGUUGAGUGUCCCCAAGCAUGGACCCCAGCCUGCUGCCAGCUUUUCCCAGUGUGGUUCCAGUCCCCCCAGUAUGGUUACAGACACUCCCAGUAUAUUCCAGUUGCCUGGGUAAGGUUCUAGUUACCUCAGAGUGACCCCAGUCUUUCCCAGUUACUCCCAGUUGCCUCCAGCAUGAUCCCAGUUUCUGUCUCUUGCCCACAUUGUGGUCCCAGUUGCUCCC
This is a long non-coding RNA of Chloebia gouldiae (Gouldian finch), 2230 nucleotides long. NCBI's taxonomy places the organism in Eukaryota, Metazoa, Chordata, Aves, Passeriformes, Passeridae. The record is from Ensembl.